AGGAAACAAUUUAAUUUAAAGCUAUUUCUCAGAAUUGUAUCCUGGACUUAAUAGGGACACACACUUAAGCACAUUAAUUGCAGCUCAGUCUGUGAGACAUAAGUUCAGAUUCAAAUGAGUUACACAGUCCUGUUAUUAUACAACCUUACAAUUUAAGCAAAAACUUUAUUAGCAAACUGGUCCAUGCUGUUAAUUCAUACUACUGCACUUUUGAAACAAGUACAACCGAAUGAUAAACUAAUUUAAUUAAUACAUUAACUGUUAAAGAAGUGCAUGCUAAGAGAAGAUUCUUGCCCCUUUUGAACAUAGCUUUGUCCAUAACAGCCUUGUCUUCCUAUUGUUAUCAUGUAAAUCCCAUCUUGAAGCUCCCAAGCUGAUUGUUCCAACAAACUAGUGGCUGAAUCAAUAUGUGAUAUGGACUUGGACCAACAUUAAUCAACUAUUUGUAACAAAAAUAGUCGAUUAAAGAAGGUUUCAAGUUCAUUCGACCAGAUAUAACCUCCAAAAGGUGAAGAAGAAAAUUAAGGUUUUUUGAUGUUCUAAUAUUUGAGAUUCGAGGAAAUCAGGACUGAUUCAAGAGGGGUUAAUGGUAUUUUGGGAUUCAAGUAAGGGUAAAGUUCAUAGGGUGUAAGUCUGAGGCGAUUUGGGAAGGUUGAAGUUUUGGCCGAGAUUCUUCGAUUCAAAAUUCGAAGAGUUCAAUAGGGAUUUGAGAAAUUAGGAGUGGAGAUUGGGAAUGAUGAGGUCAAGGGGGGUUCAGGGUGUAAAUUUGGGGUAUUUUGGGGCAUCGCCGCCUACAGAAGCGAUUACCGGCGGGCGGUUCACGGUGGAGACGAUGGAAUAAAAGCGCGGCUAGGGUUUGGGUUUUUGAGAGGAUCAGUGACAAAUGGAUGGAGUAAUGGGGUUUGAGGGGUCCAUUCAGACAGUUAGAAGGAGGGGAAAGGAUCAGUUUUCAACCACUGGAUCAUAGGAGAUCAAUGCUAAUCAAAAUGACGUCGUUAGGGUAUGGACAGGGUAAGGGAUGGUUUUGGGUCGGGUAAGGGGUGGUUUUGGAUGGGUAUUGGAGGAUUUUUUAUUUGGGCUAGCCCAAAUUCAGGUAUUUAUUAAGAAACUCAAUUUCUUUUCAACUUCUUUCCUUUUUCUUUUCUAUUUAAAAACUCCUUUUUUCUUUUUUCUUUUUCAAAAUUAAAAUAAACCUAAAUUAACUCUAAAAAAUUAAACUAUCAAAUUAUAUCAAGCUCUAACUAAUAAUCAACAUAAUUAAUUAAAUACCAAAUUAAAGAAAAACUAACAAAAUUCAAAGCUAAAAAAUUAAGCAAUGCGGAAAUAGAUAAUUUUUUGUGAUUUUUCUAUUUUUGUAUACCCUAAUUACUAAUUAAUCUAUAAAUUUGUAAAAUUAAAUCAUAUAUGCAACAUGUAAUUUUUCUCUUUUUUUCUUUUCUUUUUAAUUAAAAAUCCUAAAUUACCUAAAAUGUGAAAACUUAAAAUAAUUAAUUACAAAAUUAUAAAAGCUACUUAAUCCUAUGUUAAAAGAGAAAAAUCAAUAAAAGGAUAAAAAUGUAGAAAUUGGCUAUUUUUGUGGUUUUUAUUUUUAAUAAAGAAAAUAAUUAAUUAAUUAGUCCUAAAAAUAUAUAAUAUAUCAUGAACGAACAAUAUCUAAAGAAUAACUCAUUUCAUUGCACAACUAAUUGCAAAGGUUUGACAUAUUUCAUAAACUGAUGUAUAAAGAAUCUAUAUAGAGUUCUAAGUAGUACCUGUAGUAGUAAAGUUCAAAAAAGGAAGGUAGAAGAACAGAUUCUAGAGAAUCUCAAGGAUAUCAGCAACACAAUAGCAACAACAAAAGCAAAACAAUCCAAGGAUUCAAAAUAAGACCAAAACCAGCUUCAAACUAGGAAAUCCAGCUAGAGAACUAGAGAAAAUUUUCUAUUCAAACCCUAUCUUGACUUGCACAGAAUCAGAAAAAUGAGAGAAGUUUUUUUUUGAGUUUUUCUUUUUUUUUUUUUAGAAUUUUUUUUGGAAUCUGAACUUUUGAGCAAGGAGUGGUUUUUUGCAUUAGUUUUUUUUUGGAUCAUUCAACUCUCUCUGUGUGAGUGAGGGAAUGUUUCUAUUAUAUAGAGUGCACAAAAAGGCAUAAAAAAAUAGAAUAUUCUGACCUAGUAUAACAUAUUUUACAGCUGUAGUAUCCUUUUUCCUUAUCAAAAACCAGUAUUUUCUAAUGGAUAAGGACAAUUGUGUUGUAUUUUAGAAAAUUCUUAUAUUUAGCCUUUGAGAAAGUCCUAUUUUAACCUUUAAGCUACUGCUUAUUCCAUCUUUAGCCUAAAAUCUGAUUUUAAGACAAUUGCAACACUUUAGGCUUUUAAAUAGGUGGUAACACUUCCCUAAUGUAUUGUAUUUCAAAUUGUGAUAUUAAGCUAAGGUUCUAAAAUGGUUGUUCAAAGGCUCAAAUAUGAGCUUAAAACCAAUUAAACCUAAGUAAUCACAUGAAUAAGCAAUUAAGACUGAUUCAAGAAGGUUUACUCAAUUUUAACCAAAUUCAAGAUAAAUCUAGCUAAAGCUGAACUAGGCAAUCAAUUACUGUGAAUUCCAUCUUAAUUAAAACGAACUAUGCUGAGAACUAAUGGCUAGAGAAAAUCAUGAGAUAAAAAGAAUGAAUAGAAACACAAAACUCCACAUUAACAGAACUAGUCAUGCCAAUUACACUCAUAAAUUAUGAGACCUAAACAAAUGAUAAUCUUGCAAUUUGAGUAUUGAAAAGUGCAAAUUUGAUUUAAUUAAUCAGGAACAAAUAGACAACUAGGCAUUUGCUAAAAAAAUAAAGGAAGGAAACAUAGAAAUAAAAGUUAAACAAGCAAAAGGAGAGGAAAAGAAACUAAUAGACAUAAAUCUGAACUUUUAACAUGCUUUAAUUAAUAGGAACUUCAGGAAUUGAUCAAUUAAACAGAAAAAGGUAAACAAAAGAAGAAAAAUACUAAUUAUUUCGCUAAAAAGAAAAGAAUAAUCAAACAUGAAAAGAAAGGACAAAAUCAAAAAUAUUAAACAAUCAAAAAAGAAAAAGAAAAGAGAUUACCGGAUUGAAAUCAAACCGGAUCUAAUUGCAAACUAGUCCAAGCUUUCUGAUAUGUGAUAUGGACUUGGACAACCUUUAAUCAACUAUUUGUAACAGAAAUAGUCGAUUAAUGAAGGUUUCAAGUUCAUUCGACCAGAUAUAACCUCCAAAAGACGAAGAAGAAAAUUAAGGUUUUUUGGGGUUCUAAGAUUUGAGAUUCGAGGAACUCAGGACUGAUUCAAGAGGGGUUAAUGGUAGUUUGGGAUUCAAGUAAGGGUAAAGUUCAUAGGGUGUAAGUCUGAGGCGAUUUGGAAAGGUUGAAGUUUUGGCAGAGAUUUUUCGAUUCAAAAUUCGAAGAGUUCAAUAGGGAUUUGAGAAAUGAGGAGUGGAGAUUGGGAAUGAUGAGGUCAAGGGGGGUUCAGGGUGUAAAUUUGGGGUAUAUUUGGGCAUCGCCGCCUACAGAAGCGAUUUACGGCGGGCGAUUCACGGCGGAGACGAUGGAAUAAAAGCGCAGCUAGAGUUUGGGUUUUUGAGAGGAUCAGAGACAAAAGGAGGGAGUAAUGGGGUUUGAGGGGUCCAUUCAGACAGUUAGAAGGAGGGGAAAGGAUCAGUUUUCAGCUAUUGGAUCAUGGGAGAUCAACGCUGAGAUCAAUGCUAAUCAAAAUGACGUCGUUUGGGUACGGACAGGGUAAAGGAUGGUUUUGGAUUGGGUAAGGGGUGGUUUUGGAUGGGUAUUGGAGGAUUUUUUUAUUUGGGCCAGCCCAAAUUCAGCUAUUUGUUAAGAAACUCAAUUUCUUUUCAAC
Molecule: long non-coding RNA, 3846 nt
Filed under: Nicotiana benthamiana
Lineage: Eukaryota; Viridiplantae; Streptophyta; Magnoliopsida; Solanales; Solanaceae
Description: long non-coding RNA (NBEN_LNC021163)
Source: RNAcentral